UGAAAUUGAACUCGCUGUGAAGAUGCAGUGUACCCGCGGCAAGACGGAAAGACCCCGUGAACCUUUACUAUAGCUUGACACUGAACCUUGAGCCUUGAUGUGUAGGAUAGGUGGGAGGCUUUGAAGUGUGGACGCCAGUCUGCAUGGAGCCGACCUUGAAAUACCACCCUUUAAUGUUUGAUGUUCUAACGUGGGCCCCUGAACGGGGUUGCGGACAGUGUCUGGUGGGUAGUUUGACUGGGGCGGUCUCCUCCCAAAGAGUAACGGAGGAGCACGAAGGUUAGCUAAUCCUGGUCGGACAUCAGGAGGUUAGUGCAAAGGCAUAAGCUAGCUUGACUGCGAGAGUGACGGCUCGAGCAGGUGCGAAAGCAGGUCUUAGUGAUCCGGUGGUUCUGAAUGGAAGGGCCAUCGCUCAACGGAUAAAAGGUACUCCGGGGAUAACAGGCUGAUACCGCCCAAGAGUUCAUAUCGACGGCGGUGUUUGGCACCUCGAUGUCGGCUCAUCACAUCCUGGGGCUGAAGUAGGUCCCAAGGGUACGGCUGUUCGCCGUUUAAAGUGGUACGCGAGCUGGGUUUAGAACGUCGUGAGACAGUUCGGUCCCUAUCUGCCGUGGGCGUUGGAAGAUUGAGGGGGGUUGCUCCUAGUACGAGAGGACCGGAGUGAACGCACCACUGGUGUUCGGGUUGUGAUGCCAAUUGCAUUGCCCGGUAGCUAAGUGCGGAAGAGAUAACCGCUGAAAGCAUCUAAGCGGGAAACUUGCCCCGAGAUGAGUCUUCCCUGGGACUUCGAGUCCCCUGAAGGGCCGUUGAAGACGACGACGUAGAUAGGCUGGGUGUGUAAGCGUAGCGAUACGUUGAGCUAACCAGUACUAAUGACCCGAGAGGCUUAACCUUACAACACCGAAGGUGUUUUAG
This 915-nucleotide ribosomal RNA is filed under the name Lonsdalea quercina. Its description in RNAcentral is "bacterial LSU rRNA". It matches the Rfam family "Bacterial large subunit ribosomal RNA", at positions 2037 to 2925 of the family's 2925-position model. Lineage: Bacteria; Pseudomonadati; Pseudomonadota; Gammaproteobacteria; Enterobacterales; Pectobacteriaceae. The record is from RNAcentral.